This 406-nucleotide ribosomal RNA is filed under the name uncultured bacterium. RNAcentral describes it as "partial 16S ribosomal RNA". It matches the Rfam family "Bacterial small subunit ribosomal RNA", at positions 30 to 526 of the family's 1533-position model. The record is from RNAcentral.
AUUGAACGCUGGCGGCAGGCCUAACACAUGCAAGUCGAACGAGUGGCGGACGGGUGAGUAAUGUCUGGGAAACUGCCUGAUGGAGGGGGAUAACUACUGGAAACGGUAGCUAAUACCGCAUACCAUCAGAUGUGCCCAUAUGGGAUUGGCUUGUUGGUGGGGUAAAGGCGCACCAAGGCGACGAUCCUGAGCUGGUCUGAGAGGAUGACCAACCACACUUGAACUGUGACACGCUACCGACUCCUACGGUAGGCAGCAGUGGGGAAUAUUGGACAAUGGGCGCAAGCCUGAUGCAGCCAUGCCGCGUGUAUGAAGAAGGCCUUCGGGUUGUAAAGUACUUUCAGCGGUGAGGCGUUACCCGCAGAAGAAGCACCGGCUAACUCCGUGCCAGCAGCCGCGGUAAUUC